AUACGUAGGGUGCGAGCGUUGUCCGGAAUUACUGGGCGUAAAGAGCUCGUAGGUGGUUUGUCGCGUCGUCUGUGAAAUUCCGGGGCUUAACUCCGGGCGUGCAGGCGAUACGGGCAUAACUUGAGUACUGUAGGGGAGACUGGAAUUCCUGGUGUAGCGGUGAAUUGCGCAGAUAACAGGAGGAACACCGGUGGCAAAGGCGGGUCUCUGGGCAGUAACGGACGCUGAGGAGCGAAAGCAUGUGUAGCGAACAGGAUUAGAUCCACUGGUAGUCCAUGUCGUAAACGGUGGGCGCUAGGUGUAGGGGUCUUCCACGACUUCUGUGCCGUAGCUAACGCAUUAAGCGCCCCGCCUGGGGAGUACGGCCGCAAGGCUAAAACUCAAAUGAAUUGACGGGG
This 398-nucleotide ribosomal RNA is filed under the name uncultured bacterium. RNAcentral's name for it is "partial 16S ribosomal RNA". It matches the Rfam family "Bacterial small subunit ribosomal RNA", at positions 523 to 918 of the family's 1533-position model. The record is from RNAcentral.